AUUGAACGCUGGCGGCAGGCCUAACACAUGCAAGUCGAACGGUAACAGGAAGAAGCUUGCUUCUUUGCUGACGAGUGGCGGACGGGUGAGUAAUGUCUGGGAAACUUCCUGAUGGAGGGGGAUAACUACUGGAAACGGUAGCUAAUACCGCAUAACGUCGCAAGACCAAAGAGUGGGAACUUUGGGCCACUUGCCUACGGAUGUGCCCAGAUGUGAUUAGCUAGUAGGUGGGGUAACGGCUCACCUAGGCGACGAUCCCUAGCUGGUCUGAGAGGAUGACCAGCCACACUGGAACUGAGACACGGUCCAGACACCUACGGGAGGCAGCAGUGGGGAAUAAUGCACAAUGGGCGCAAGCCUGAUGCAGCCAUGCCGCGUGUAUGAAGAAGGCCUUCGGGUUUUAGAGUACUUUCAGCAGGGAGGAAGGGAGUAAAGUUAAUACCUUGACUCAUUGACGUUACCCGAAGAAGAAGCACCAGCUAACUCCGUG
Molecule: ribosomal RNA, 490 nt
Filed under: uncultured bacterium
Lineage: Bacteria
Description: partial 16S ribosomal RNA
Rfam family: Bacterial small subunit ribosomal RNA
Source: RNAcentral